CAGCGGAGGAGGCAAAGACAUAGACACCAUAAACUUUUCUAGAGGAAAUGAGAUGCAAAUCAGUAAAGGGCAGGAAAGAGAAAAACAAAUGCUCAGGUGCUGGAUGAUGGACUAGAGAAGCCUGUCACUGCUUCUUAGUGGAAGAGAGAGGUGUGAAGAGGAGCCAUCCUCCUGCUCUGAAGCCUUGGACAUUGACAAGUGAGGAUAUAAUGCCUGGAUCUGCAGCAACU
Molecule: long non-coding RNA, 230 nt
Filed under: Mustela putorius furo (domestic ferret)
Lineage: Eukaryota; Metazoa; Chordata; Mammalia; Carnivora; Mustelidae
Description: lncRNA (ENSMPUG00000024252.1)
Source: RNAcentral